GCUUGUUAGCUCAAUUGGCAGAGCAUGAGAUUAAUAAUCUCAGGGUUGUGGGUUCGAGCCCCACCUUGGGCA
Molecule: non-coding RNA, 72 nt
Organism: Zootoca vivipara (common lizard)
Lineage: Eukaryota; Metazoa; Chordata; Lepidosauria; Squamata; Lacertidae
Source: the annotation of a RefSeq genome assembly